AGAGUGUCGUAGAGGGUAGUGGAUUUCCCGGUGGCGCAGUGACAUGGGUAGCGAUCCGGGAGGAACAUCCAUGGUGAAGGCACCUCCCUGGAUCAACACUCACAUUGAGGCACGAAAUCGUGGCGGAGCAAACAGGAUUAGAUCCCCUUGUAGUCCACGCCUUGAACGAUGCGUUCUGGAUGUUGGGUGCAAUUUGUCACGCAGUAUCGAAGCUAACGCGUUAAGUUCGCCGCCUGGGGAGUACGGUCGCAAGACUGAAACUCAAAGGAAUUGACGGGGGCCCGCACAAGCGGUGGAGUAUGUGGUUUAAUUCGAUGCAACGCGAAGAACCUUACCUGGUCUUGACAUGUCGAGAACUUUCCAGAGAUGGAUUGGUGCCUUCGGGAACUCGAACCCAGGUGCUGCAUGGCCGUCGUCAGCUCGUGUCGUGAGAUGUUGGGUUAAGUCCCGCAACGAGCGCAACCCUUGUCCUUAGUUGCCAGCACGUAAUGGUGGGAACUCUAAGGAGACCGCCGGUGACAAACCGGAGGAAGGUGGGGAUGACGUCAAGUCAUCAUGGUCCUUACGACCAGGGCUACGCACGUACUACAAUGGUAGGGACAGAGGGCUGCAAACCCGCGAGGGCAAGCCAAUCCCAGAAACCCUAUCUCAGUCCGGAUUGGAGUCUGCAACUCGACUCCAUGAAGUCGGAAUCGCUAGUAAUCGCAGAUCAGCAUUGCUGCGGGGAAUACGUUCCCGGGCCUUGUACACACCGCCCGUCACAAACGUUGGGAGUUUGUUGCACCAGAAGCAGGUAGCUUAACCUUCGGGAGGGCGCUGCCACGGGGGGCCCCGAAGUGGGC
This 842-nucleotide ribosomal RNA is filed under the name uncultured bacterium. Its description in RNAcentral is "bacterial SSU rRNA". It matches the Rfam family "Bacterial small subunit ribosomal RNA", at positions 643 to 1479 of the family's 1533-position model. The record is from RNAcentral.